CCUACGGGUGACAGCAGUGAGGAAUAUUGGUCAAUGGACGAGAGUCUGAACCAGCCAAGUAGCGUGAAGGAUGACUGCCCUAUGGGUUGUAAACUUCUUUUAUAUGGGAAUAAAACGUUCCACGUGUGGGAUUUUGUAUGUACCAUAUGAAUAAGGAUCGGCGAACUCCGUGCCAGCAGCCGAGGUAAUACGGAGGAUCCGAGCGUUAUCCGGAUUUAUUGGGUUUAAAGGGAGCGUAGGUGGAUUAUUAAGUCAGUUGUGAAAGUUUGCGGCUCAACCGUAAAAUUGCAGUUGAAACUGGCAGUCUUGAGUACAGUAGAGGUGGGCGGAAUUCGUGGUGUAGCGGUGAAAUGCUUAGAUAGCACGAAGAACUCCGAUUGCGAAGGCAGUUCACUGGACUGCAACUGACACUGAGGCUCGAAAGUGUGGGUAUCAAACAGGAUUAGAUACCCUUGUAGUC
This 460-nucleotide ribosomal RNA is filed under the name uncultured bacterium. RNAcentral describes it as "partial 16S ribosomal RNA". It matches the Rfam family "Bacterial small subunit ribosomal RNA", at positions 338 to 795 of the family's 1533-position model. The record is from RNAcentral.